AAGCUCGUAGUUGAAUUUCGGGAUUAGUACGUCGGUCGUGCCUUAGGUACGUACUGGUGUUACUGGUUCCUACCUUCUGACGAACCAUCAUGUCAUUAAUUUGGUGUGGUGGGGAAUCAGGACUGUUACUUUGAAAAAAUUAGAGUGUUUAAAGCAGGCUCGCGCUUGAAUACAUUAGCAUGGAAUAAUGAAAUAGGACGUUGAUCCUACUUUGUUGGUUUCUAGGAUUGACGUAAUGAUUAAUAGGGAUAGUUGGG
Molecule: ribosomal RNA, 257 nt
Filed under: uncultured Glomus
Lineage: Eukaryota; Fungi; Glomeromycota; Glomeromycetes; Glomerales; Glomeraceae
Description: partial 18S ribosomal RNA
Rfam family: Eukaryotic small subunit ribosomal RNA
Source: RNAcentral